This is a long non-coding RNA of Clupea harengus (Atlantic herring), 1635 nucleotides long. NCBI's taxonomy places the organism in Eukaryota, Metazoa, Chordata, Actinopteri, Clupeiformes, Clupeidae. The record is from Ensembl.
UGGGGACUACACAUAGGUUUAUAUUUUGGAGAUAGGGUUAAGAUCAGGUUAAGGUCAAAGGUUAUGCUUAGAUCUAGUUCAUUCUCACCAGUGGGAAUUACACAUAGUAGUGUAGUAUUGUACUAGUAUUUUGUAAGUGUGUAUUGUAGUAGUAUAUUGUAAGUGUGUAUUGUGUUAGUAUAUUUAGUAGUGUAGUUUUGUGUUAAUAUAUUUAGAAGUGUAGUAUUGUGUAAGUAUAUUUAGUAGUGUAGUAUUGUGUUAGUAUAUUUAGUAGUGUAGUUUUGUGUUAAUAUAUUUAGAAGUGUAGUAUUGUGUUAGUAUAUUUAGUAGUGUAGUAUUGUGUUAGUAUAUUUAGUAGAGUAGUAUUGUGUUAGUAUAUUUAGUAGUGUAGUAUUGUGUUAGUAUAUUUAGAAGUGUAGUAUUGUGUUAGUAUAUUUAGUAGUGUAGUAUUGUCAUAGUAUAUUUAGUAGUGUAGUAUUGUUGUAGUAUAUUUAGUAGUGUAGUAUUGUGUAAGUAUAUUGUAAGUGUGUAUUGUAGUAGUAUAUUUAGGAGUGUAGUAUUGUGUUAGUAUAUUUAGUAGUGUAGUAUAUUUAGUAGUGUAGUAUUGUGUAAGUAUAUUGUAAGUGUGUAUUGUAGUAGUAUAUUUAGGAGUGUAGUAUUGUGUUAGUAUAUUUAGUAGUGUAGUAUUGUGUUAGUAUAUUUAGUAGUGUAGUAUUGUGUUAGUAUAUUGUAAGUGUAGUAUUGUGUUAGUAUAUUUAGGAGUGUAGUAUUGUGUUAGUAUAUUUAGUAGUGUAGUAUUGUGUUAAUAUAUUUAGUAGAGUAGUAUUGUGUUAGUAUAUUUAGUAGUGUAGUAUUGUCAUAGUAUAUUUAGUAGUGUAGUAUUGUGUUAGUAUAUUUAGUAGUGUAGUAUUGUGUUAGUAUAUUUAGUAGUGUAGUAUUGUGUUAGUAUAUUGUAAGUGUAGUAUUGUGUUAGUAUAUUUAAGAGUGUAGUAUUGUGUAAGUAUAUUUAGUAGUGUAGUAUUGUCAUAGUAUAUUUAGGAGUGUAGUAUUGUCAUAGUAUAUUUAGUAGUGUAGUAUUGUGUUAGUAUAUUUAGUAGUGUAGUAUUGUGUUAGUAUAUUUUGUAAGUGUAGUAUUGUGUUAGUAUAUUUAGUAGUGUAGUAUUGUGUUAGUAUAUUUAGUAGUGUAGUAUUGUGUUAGUAUAUUUUGUAAGUGUAGUAUUGUGUUAGUAUAUUUAGUAGUGUAGUAUUGUGUUAGUAUAUUUAGUAGUGUAGCAUUGUGUUAGUAUAUUUAGAAGUGUAGUAUUGUACUAGUAUUUUGUAAGUGUGUAUUGUGUUAGUAUAUUUAGUAGUGUAGUAUUUUAGUAGUAUAUUUAGAAGUGUAGUAUUGUGUUAAUAUAUUUAGUAAUGUAGUAUAUUGUAAGUGUAGUAUUGUGUUAGUAUAUUUAGUAGUGUAGUAUUGUGUAAGUAUUGUGUAAGUAUAUUUAGUAGUGUAGUAUAUAAGUAUGCAAGGCAUCGCCUCCAUUGGCCCGUUCUCCUGACCUCCAUCCUCCCUCUAUUCUCUCUUCUUUCUCUUCUCUCUUUUUUAAGAUUUCUUUCACUCUUUUGUUCCUCCUCUUCUCUCGAGGGUGCAGGCAG